UACGUAGGGUGCAAGCGUUAAUCGGAAUUACUGGGCGUAAAGCGUGCGCAGGCGGUUAUAUAAGACAGCUGUGAAAUCCCCGGGCUCAACCUGGGAACUGCAUCUGUGACUGUAUAGCUAGAGUACGGUAGAGGGGGAUGGAAUUCCGCGUGUAGCAGUGAAAUGCGUAGAUAUGCGGAGGAACACCGAUGGCGAAGGCAAUCCCCUGGACCUGUACUGACGCUCAUGCACGAAAGCGUGGGGAGCAAACAGG
Molecule: ribosomal RNA, 253 nt
Filed under: uncultured bacterium
Lineage: Bacteria
Description: partial 16S ribosomal RNA
Rfam family: Bacterial small subunit ribosomal RNA
Source: RNAcentral